Non-coding RNA from Podarcis lilfordi (Lilford's wall lizard), 69 nucleotides. The record is from the annotation of a GenBank genome assembly. Lineage: Eukaryota; Metazoa; Chordata; Lepidosauria; Squamata; Lacertidae.
GGCACAGCUUAGUGGCAGAGCAUCUGCUUUGUAUGCACAAUGCCCCUGGUUCAAUUCUUGGCAUCUCCA